GUGGCCUUUGGGUCCCGCUGCUGAGGUGGCAGGUGGUGACAUCCCAAGGCCUCGUGGUGGCUCUGAAUCCAGCGCAGCAUCCAGCGAGAGCCUGCCAAGCCUCUCCAGGCACCACAAACUUCUUGUAAAUCCGAGGGCUCCUGGAGGUGAGGAUGUGGCUGCGGCUCCUGUCCUUGCUGGGACAGGCCUGGAGGACGAGGAGGAGGAGGAGGAGGACAAGGAGGAGGAUGAUGAUGAUGAUUCAAAGCCUGCAGUUGUGUGGAGCUAUCUCCGUGCUGGCAACCUUGGCUGCCGCUCAGUUUUGGUGUUCUGGGGAUGGCUGCCAAGAGAGGCUGAAGGAGAGGACAGAAAGAGGCACCUGUAUCCCUGUCGAGCCCAUCCGUGAGUUUCAGACUGGUCAGGACAGAAGGGUGUGAUGGAAUCAACCCUUCCAGCUGCUGCCCAGGUGAUUUCCAGCUCAGAGCUCUAAGCAGGGCUGCUGCAGGGAGAUUUUCCUCUGCUGUGCUCACAGAUUCUGUGGGCAGGAGGGCUGUGGAAUAUCCAGGGAAGGUGUGGGGGAAGCUCUUGGGAAAAGAGGGACAAAGAACCACAUAAAAUCCCACGAAAAGGGUUUGGAAUGAAG
RNAcentral lists this long non-coding RNA (622 nucleotides) under Chloebia gouldiae (Gouldian finch). Its description in RNAcentral is "Erythrura gouldiae (Gouldian finch) lncRNA (ENSEGOG00005019108.1)". Lineage: Eukaryota; Metazoa; Chordata; Aves; Passeriformes; Passeridae. The record is from RNAcentral.